GGAAAGUAAGAUCCCUGAAAGAUGAUCAGGUAGAUAGGUUUGGAGUGGAAGUGUAGCGAUACAUGGAGCGGACAAAUACUAAUCGAUCGAGGACUUAACCAA
This 102-nucleotide ribosomal RNA is filed under the name Listeria monocytogenes. RNAcentral's name for it is "partial 23S ribosomal RNA". It matches the Rfam family "Bacterial large subunit ribosomal RNA", at positions 2823 to 2925 of the family's 2925-position model. RNAcentral also lists the same sequence under 1 other name. The record is from RNAcentral. Lineage: Bacteria; Bacillati; Bacillota; Bacilli; Caryophanales; Listeriaceae.